ACCCAAAGCUUAAAGUUGAUACCAAAGCUUUAACAACUUUUCCCAGAUUCCAUUGCUUUUCCUUUAUUAGAGCUAGUUAGACAUGGCCGCUGCCUCUCACGUCUCCCACGCUAGCCGGAACUCAAGAACAAAGCGUUCUCCAGAAGCAUGUGUCCUUCUUCGAUCGGAACCAUGACGGCGUCGUCUACCCAUGGGAGACCUUCAAAGGUUUUAGGGCGAUUGGGCGUGGGAUUCCUCUGUCCACCUUCGCCGCCGUCUUCAUCAAUGUCGGUCUCAGCAGGAAAACUCGUCCGGUAAUUACAUACUCGCCUUUUUCUUUCCUUAAAUUUUUUUUCUUGAAUUGCCUGUCUUGCAUUUUUCAUACUAGCUUGUUGGCACACAUUGUGAUUGCGUCAAUAUACAGAUGGUAUAAUCCGCACGCAACACUAUCAAUUGCUUGUUUCUUGGUGCCAUGUUUAAUUAGUACGAGAACAUCACAUGCUUUUGUUCA
Molecule: non-coding RNA, 490 nt
Organism: Punica granatum (pomegranate)
Lineage: Eukaryota; Viridiplantae; Streptophyta; Magnoliopsida; Myrtales; Lythraceae
Source: RefSeq, a predicted model, not a curated record